Dasypus novemcinctus (nine-banded armadillo) is the source of this 102-nucleotide unclassified non-coding RNA. Lineage: Eukaryota; Metazoa; Chordata; Mammalia; Cingulata; Dasypodidae. The record is from Ensembl.
UUACAAAGGGAAAAUACAGGGAGAGAGCUCACCGACUUAUGGAAAAUCAACAAGAAUGGGCCCAAUGUCAGAAACCCCCCUGGUACCAGAAUAAACCCCUUU